Molecule: ribosomal RNA, 305 nt
Filed under: uncultured bacterium
Lineage: Bacteria
Description: bacterial SSU rRNA
Rfam family: Bacterial small subunit ribosomal RNA
Source: RNAcentral
CCCUACGGGGCUCCGCAGUUAGUAAUAUUUGUCAAUUUUCUUUCGCCUUAACCAGCCAAGUAGCGUGAAGGAUGAAGGUUCUAUGGAUUGUAAACUUCUUUUAUAAAGGAAUAAAGUGAGGCACGUGUGCCUUUUUGUAUGUACUUUAUGAAUAAGGAUCGGCUAACUCCGUGCCAGCAGCCGCGGUAAUACGGAGGAUCCGAGCGUUAUCCGGAUUUAUUGGGUUUAAAGGGAGCGUAGAUGGGUUGUUAAGUCAGUUGUGAAAGUUUGCGGCUCAACCGUAAAAUUGCAAUUGAUACUGGCGU